UUGAGGAUGCUUUCCUCCUGCUAUGGGCCUGGAUUACCAAAGACUUGGAGACACGGGUGUCACCUUUGAGCAUCUCAGAUCUGCAAGAUUCCCAGGGCCCAAAUUUCCCCUUCUUCUGAGAUCACCGGUCAUAAGGGAUCAGGGCCCUCCCUGAUGGCCCAGCUUAACUUCUGUAAAGACGUUCUCUCCAGUCCCGAUCAUGUCCUCAGGCACUGGGGAUGAGGACUCCAGCAUAUGAAUUUUGGGAGGACGAAAUCCAACCCUGGACACUGGAGCCCAGAGGAUGCGUGGGGAGGCAGCAUCCAUGGACCACCACAGAGGACUUGGACCAUGGAACCUCGGAAGCCAGGGAACAGUCACUGACUCUGCUCGGGAGGACCUGGAGGCCUUCACAGGAGGCUGUGUGUAGAUGCACAUUUUUUUCAUCCAUGGUCAUGGCUGCAUAAACCAGAGGAGAAGCUGCGGAAGCCAAGGCCCGGAGAAGGUACACAGCUAGCCACCAUCACACAGCAGAGUUUGGCACCCAAAUGGGGUUGAAAGCCCCAGCCUGGACUUGCCAAGGCUGCCAGCUCUUGCAUCCUGAGAUUUGGGCUCUUUGAGUCUGCAGCAGAGGCUGGACAGGAAGGAGGGGAGGGAAAAGGG
Molecule: long non-coding RNA, 642 nt
Organism: Odocoileus virginianus texanus
Lineage: Eukaryota; Metazoa; Chordata; Mammalia; Artiodactyla; Cervidae
Source: RefSeq, a predicted model, not a curated record